This 776-nucleotide ribosomal RNA is filed under the name uncultured Neocallimastigales. RNAcentral describes it as "partial large subunit ribosomal RNA". It matches the Rfam family "Eukaryotic large subunit ribosomal RNA", at positions 24 to 614 of the family's 3401-position model. The record is from RNAcentral. Lineage: Eukaryota; Fungi; Neocallimastigomycota; Neocallimastigomycetes; Neocallimastigales.
UAUCUCUGUAGAGUCUGCAUAUCAAUAAGCGGAGGAAAAGAAACUAACAAGGAUUCCCUUAGUAACGGCGAGUGAAGCGGGAAGAGCUCAAAUUUGAAAUCUUCAAGGUUCUACCUUGACGAAUUGUAGUUUAAAGAAGUGUUUUCUGUUGGAGUUUUGGUAAAAGUUCUUUGGAAUAGGACAUCAUAGAGGGUGAGAAUCCCGUAUUUGACCGUUAUUCUUCCAGCUGUGUGAUACACUUUCAAAGAGUCGGAUUGUUUGGGAAUGCAGUCCAAAAUGGGUGGUAAAUUUCAUCUAAAGCUAAAUAUUGGCGAGAGACCGAUAGCGAACAAGUACCGUGAGGGAAAGAUGAAAAGAACUUUGAAAAGAGAGUUAAACAGUACGUGAAAUUGUCAAAAGGGAAGCGUUUGACACCAGUGUUGUUUUCUCGAAAAUCAAUUAAAAAUGGCCGGAUUUUGUGUUGUAUUGACUUUAUCAGCUUUCUGCACUUUUUUCUUGUCUUUUUUAAUGCACUUUUCGUUUAACAAGUCAACAUCAAUUUCUUUUGUUGUAAAAGAGUCAUUGGAAGGUGGCUUUCACUUCGGUGAAAGUGUUUAUAGCCUUUGACUUCUGCAAUCGGAGAGAUUGAGGUCUGCAGCGUAGAUCCUUCGGGGUUAGAUACAUUUGUGCUAAGUUAUAGUUUUUCAUAGACAACAUGUUGACUAUGAUUAAUCAUGUAGCUUACUCGCUUAUGCUAUUUUACCUACGCUUAGGAUGUUGAACGCGCACAGAGUCUC